CAAUAGCGUAUAUUAAAGUUGUUGCGGUUAAAAAGCUCGUAGUUGGAUUUCUGUUGAGGUCGGCCGGUCCCUACUUCGUAGGCGUAUCUGGUUCAGCCUUGGCAUCCUCCUAGGGAACGGCACUGCUCUUAACUGAGUGGUCCGGUAUCUAGGACUUUUACUUUGAGGAAAUUAGAGUGUUUACGGCAGGCAAUCGCCUUGAAUAUGUUAGCAUGGAAUAAUAAUAUAGGACCUUGGUUCUAUUUUGUUGGUUUCUAGGACUAAGGUAAUGAUUAGUAGGGAUAUUUGGGGGCAUUCGUAUUAACCGGUCAGAGGUGGAAUUCUUGGAUUCGGUUACGACGAACUACUGCGAAAGCAUUUGCCAAGGAUGUUUUCAUUGA
Molecule: ribosomal RNA, 380 nt
Filed under: uncultured eukaryote
Lineage: Eukaryota
Description: partial 18S ribosomal RNA
Rfam family: Eukaryotic small subunit ribosomal RNA
Source: RNAcentral